Molecule: long non-coding RNA, 2910 nt
Organism: Hypanus sabinus (Atlantic stingray)
Lineage: Eukaryota; Metazoa; Chordata; Chondrichthyes; Myliobatiformes; Dasyatidae
Exons: 3
Source: RefSeq, a predicted model, not a curated record
GACAAUAUUGUAUUUAAUUUUAAUCUGCAAUCUGCCCAAUUUCUCAACAGAUAAAAUGCUCCUCCUUGCCGUACGAUAACAAAAGCUACAUUGUGUAGAUAAUGCUGUGAAGGACUGAGCAAAACUGAUUGGUGAUGAAUCAUCCACUUUAGAUUCUGGAAGGACAAACAUCAGAGUAUUUUUGUAAUGAGUAGCUGUAAGAGAACAAGAUGCUUUGGAGAUCUUAAAAUUCUCUUUUCUUAAAGGUUGUCAACAUUGGAAACUUAAGCCAGGCUAAAUGCUUGUGAGCAAUGGCUCUGCCAUUGAGAGUGAACAGCACAAGGUUUCUUGGUAUGUACAUACAGACGAUCUAACCUGAGCCACAGCAGCAUCACUUUCUGCGGAGACUGAGGUGUGCAAAACUCCCCAUCCCCAUUCCAAUGACUUUCUACAGGAGCACCAUCCUUUGCUGCGUCAUUGGUAUAGAAGCUGCCGAAAGGAUCAGCGGGCUCUCUCUCUCUCCCCCCCCCAUUUGUGUCAAUUACUGGGAGUAUUGCAGACGAAGAGUUCAAAGUAUUGUUGAGGAUCUCUAUCACCAUCACAAAAAUUCUUUGACCCACUACCAUCAGGAACAAUCAGAACGAGGACUGCCAGGCUGAGUAACAGUUUCUUCUCCCAAGCUGUAAGAUGAAUGAAUAACCUGUCACUAAGACAGUGAGUUAUUUACUGUUACCUUUGCUGCACACUACAUGCACUUUGAAUUAUUCUUUAUUGACUUAUUUAUGGUAAUGUUUUAUUUUACGUGCUAUGUGUGAUAUAUGUUUUAUUGGUGUACCAUUGUCCAGAGAAACAUUGUUUUGAUCAGUUGUAUAUAUGCACAGUCAGACAACAAUAAACUUGAAUUUGAAUUUUAACAAGGGCAUAGAAUGAGGAACAACGGAGAUGUGGUCGAUAAUGCAGGCCUGCCUUAAUUCAGCACAUUAUCCUUUGCACUGCUAGUUAUUAGACAGAGAGAAACCAUUCCUUCCACCUGGAGUCUGCACCAACUAUCAAUCAUUUUAUUCUUUCAUUUGGAAACCACACCUCCCCCCACCCCAAUUCUACCGCUCACCUAUACAUUGGGGCACCAUAAAGUGGCCAUUAUCAUACCAACCUGUGGAGUUCAGGGACGUGACUCGCGUGGCCACAGGGCAAAGGUGAAAACUGCACAGUGACAGCAGAACAGCGGGGAUUGAACCCAAGUCUCUGGGGCUGUGAGAGGAGCCAGGCCACACCACUAUCAAUAUCCUGAUUUGCCCAGCAAUGUCUCCGUGUUGCUGGCCUCCCCGAAGAGCUGACUGAGUUUGCAUUAUUACCUCCCCACCCUUUUGUAACUGGAAGGCCCCCGCUAUCGAUGAACAAGGCAGCGUCAAUUCUGCUGAAUUUCAGCAGAGCACAACACAGCCCUGUGGCCUUCACAGUUGUUCCCGAGCUUUGCCCCUCCCAAGCACAUCCAACUCAAGACAUCAGGUAAACUGUCACCAAUAUCAGAGAUACAAGUUUGCAAUCCAGCAACCACCCCAAAUUGACAAGCUGUUAUAAAAAAUAAUAAUAAUUGAAGUCUCCAUCCCUCCCAAUUGCUUUUUGAUUACUCAUUUUCUCAGGUCGCCAUGUGCUUCUUGAUCCCCCGAAACAAUAACCUGACCAGUUCUUCCGGAUCGCUAAAUUUGUCCGCACUACAAACAGCAACUCUUUGCGUUGUGCCCCCUUCCACAGGUCUGGGAAUCAGGGACAAUCAAAGUUAUGCCUGCAAUUUUUUGGGACCCUGGUUCUCUUCUUUCACAUCACUCCCCACAGUACAUUACCGGCUGUAUUACUGUCACUCACCAAUCUAGAAAACCAAAUAAGCUUCGCUGUAAAUUGCAAAAGCUUUCUUCCGAUUCAUGCAAUCUAUUAUCAAAAUCGCAAAAUCAAUUUUGGGUGAUAAAAACUAACAACCAACAUGAAAGACAAAUGCACCUCCUCCGACCCCCUGUCUUUAAGGACUAUUCCAAUCUAGUUCGGGGUUCUUAACUUUUUUAAUGCCACGGACCCUUACCAUUAACCGAGGGGGUCCAUGGAUCCCAGGUUGGGAACUCCUAUUCUAGUUUCCAUGCCGCACAGGUUCUGACAGCCCAAGAUGGUAUUCAGUCCAUUUCAAGUUGUUCUUCUCUCGCCUUGGAAACAGGAGUUCAAAAAAUAUUGUCCUUACCUUUUAUGCCACCAACCUCAUCUUGUACAAUUCCUAAUUUUAUUAUGUGCAUCCCCACACUGCUUCCCAAAAUAUCCUGCGGGGAGACUCAGGCUAAAUCCUCCAUCUCUCCGUCUGCAACACUGGCCCUUUUACAACGGGGAUUCGCUCUCCAAUUGGGCUACCUGCGUUCGGUUGCUGAUCUACCCCUUUAAUUCUUCCUCUUUGGUGAGAUGGUCCUCAGUCCGUAGUUUGUUCCGAUGAAGCAUCUCCGGGCACAGCACCCUUCAGCUCAGCACAUUACAAGCUGCUGCACUUGCACACUGGCUUCUAUCCGGACUUCUCACAUUAUUGCACCGCAUCACAAACCCUCCUCUUCUCAAAGCCUACCUAAAUCUCUCAUUUCCAGUUCUGCUGCUCCAGGGGUCGACCGAAAACGUGAACCCUUAAUGCUCGUCCCCGUGCCGCGAGUGUCGUAGCCCCGAGCGAGGACAGGAUUACAUCCAGCUGCAAAAUAGUAGAUCUAUUCACGUAUGCGGCUAUGCGUGUGUCUGGCGACGCCCCGAAAUUCUUCCUCGAUUCCUAAUUCUCUUCAGGAGAUGAUGGUGAUCCGUAUUCCUGAAUACACUGAUGGACAAUGAUGGUGUUGACAAGAGGAUACUGAAUCAUGCGACUACAGAAGUGGUACCACAGGCUUACUGUGAGUGAAUGUGGGAUACAGG